GAGUUUGAUCAUGGCUCAGAUUGAACGCUGGCGGCAGGCCUAACACAUGCAAGUCGAACGGUAACAGGAAACAGCUUGCUGUUUCGCUGACGAGUGGCGGACGGGUGAGUAAUGUCUGGGAAACUGCCUGAUGGAGGGGGAUAACUACUGGAAACGGUAGCUAAUACCGCAUAACGUCGCAAGACCAAAGAGGGGGACCCUCGGGCCUCUUGCCAUCGGAUGUGCCCAGAUGGGAUUAGCUUGUUGGUGGGGUAACGGCUCACCAAGGCGACGAUCCCUAGCUGGUCUGAGAGGAUGACCAGCCACACUGGAACUGAGACACGGUCCAGACUCCUACGGGAGGCAGCAGUGGGGAAUAUUGCACAAUGGGCGCAAGCCUGAUGCAGCCAUGCCGCGUGUAUGAAGAAGGCCUUCGGGUUGUAAAGUACUUUCAGCGGGGAGGAAGGGAGUAAAGUUAAUACCUUUGCUCAUUGACGUUACCCGCAGAAGAAGCACCGGCUAACUCCGUGCCAGCAGCCGCGGUAAUACGGAGGGUGCAAGCGUUAAUCGGAAUUACUGGGCGUAAAGCGCACGCAGGCGGUUUGUUAAGUCAGAUGUGAAAUCCCCGGGCUCAACCUGGGAACUGCAUCUGAUACUGGCAAGCUUGAGUCUCGUAGAGGGGGGUAGAAUUCCAGGUGUAGCGGUGAAAUGCGUAGAGAUCUGGAGGAAUACCGGUGGCGAAGGCGGCCCCCUGGACGAAGACUGACGCUCAGGUGCGAAAGCGUGGGGAGCAAACAGGAUUAGAUACCCUGGUAGUCCACGCCGUAAACGAUGUCGACUUGGAGGUUGUGCCCUUGAGGCGUGGCUUCCGGAGCUAACGCGUUAAGUCGACCGCCUGGGGAGUACGGCCGCAAGGUUAAAACUCAAAUGAAUUGACGGGGGCCCGCACAAGCGGUGGAGCAUGUGGUUUAAUUCGAUGCAACGCGAAGAACCUUACCUGGUCUUGACAUCCACGGAAGUUUUCAGAGAUGAGAAUGUGCCUUCGGGAACCGUGAGACAGGUGCUGCAUGGCUGUCGUCAGCUCGUGUUGUGAAAUGUUGGGUUAAGUCCCGCAACGAGCGCAACCCUUAUCCUUUGUUGCCAGCGGUCCGGCCGGGAACUCAAAGGAGACUGCCAGUGAUAAACUGGAGGAAGGUGGGGAUGACGUCAAGUCAUCAUGGCCCUUACGACCAGGGCUACACACGUGCUACAAUGGCGCAUACAAAGAGAAGCGACCUCGCGAGAGCAAGCGGACCUCAUAAAGUGCGUCGUAGUCCGGAUUGGAGUCUGCAACUCGACUCCAUGAAGUCGGAAUCGCUAGUAAUCGUGGAUCAGAAUGCCACGGUGAAUACGU
RNAcentral lists this ribosomal RNA (1372 nucleotides) under unidentified marine bacterioplankton. Its description in RNAcentral is "bacterial SSU rRNA". It matches the Rfam family "Bacterial small subunit ribosomal RNA", at positions 9 to 1371 of the family's 1533-position model. The record is from RNAcentral.